GACGAACGCUGGCGGCGUGCUUAACACAUGCAAGUCGAACGGAAAGGCCUGCUUUCCCUUGUGGAUUGCGGGUACUCGAGUGGCGAACGGGGGAGUAACACGUGAGUGAUCUGCCCCCAACUUGGGUAUAAGCCUGGGAAACUGGGUCUAAUUCCCGAUAGGACUGCAGGGUGGUGCCUGUGGUGGAAAACGAUUUUCUAGUGGUUGGGGAUGAGCUCGCGGCCUAUCAGCUUGUUGGUGGGGCAAUGGCCUACCAAGGCGGCGACGGGUAGCCGGCAUGGGAGGGUGGACGGCCACAUUUGGACUGCGAGACGGCACAGACUCCUAUGGGAGGCAGCAGUGGGGAAUAUUGCCCACUGGGUGGAAGACUGAUGCAGCGACGCCGCGUCGGGGAUGCCGGCCUUCGGGUUGUGAACUCCUUUCGACCGCGAGGAAGCCUCGUGGUUGGAAGGGUGGUGACGGUAGUGGUAGAAGAAGCACCGGCUAACUACGUG
This 494-nucleotide ribosomal RNA is filed under the name uncultured bacterium. Its description in RNAcentral is "partial 16S ribosomal RNA". It matches the Rfam family "Bacterial small subunit ribosomal RNA", at positions 28 to 507 of the family's 1533-position model. The record is from RNAcentral.